RNAcentral lists this ribosomal RNA (699 nucleotides) under Triticum aestivum (bread wheat). RNAcentral's name for it is "partial small subunit ribosomal RNA". Lineage: Eukaryota; Viridiplantae; Streptophyta; Magnoliopsida; Poales; Poaceae. The record is from RNAcentral.
GAGGUGGCCGCCUGGGACGCCCUCCUCCAGGACAUUGCUCUUCUACCGAUGGAGGUGGCGGAGGACUGGGACGCUCUGUCCUGGCGCCUCGAGCCUUCCGGACGUUUCUCCACGAAGUCCCUAUACGGUGCCAUUACUCCCUCGUCGGCCCCGGAACCAUUUAGCCCGAUCUGGGAUAUCCGUCUCCCGCUGAAGAUCCGGAUCUUCCUAUGGCAAUGGAUCCGUGGCCGGCUCCCCUCGGGUGUUGAGGUCCUCAAGCGAAAUGGCCCGGGUGAUGGAAUGUGCCCCAUCUGUGGCACCGUUGAGGAUGCUAACCACAUCUUUUUCUCGUGCCACCCUGCCCAGUUCCUUUGGGCCCGUUUCCGCGAAACGGUUGGUGGACAGUGGUGUAAUACCAACUUCCCCGACCUGCUUGCUGAGCUUAACGCCUGCCCUGCCCGCUUCCGCCAUAUUAGAUGGCUGUGCGUAGGGGUUCUUGCCUGGACGCUUUGGAACAUCCGUAAUAAGCUUGUUAUUCAGAAGGUGCCCCUUCGUCGUGCGACUGACGCAAUCUUUAAACUGUGUGGUUACCUGCAGCUUUGGCGGCCGCUUAGCCGCCCUCAGGACCGGGACGCCAUCACCGCCCUCCUAUCCGAUCUCCGCUCGAUGGCGCUCCGCUUGGCUCCCCCGCUGCCGCCUCCUCCCCCUGAGCCUGAUUAG